UUGUGAGACUACCAGCGAAUCUCAAUUUGGGGAUUUUCUAAUGGAUGUUCAGAGCCAAUUGUGCUGCAAAGAAAUGAUUGAAAAUGCAGUACCUCUCCUCUCCCCUGCUGCAAAGGGCAAUCAGGGAGCCCAGAUCUACUUGUUUUGAACCUUCCAAUUUAAAGCCAAUUACAGGAUUUCUGAACACCUGCAGCCCAGAGGUCCCUGUGCCUGGACCACCCAGCUUUGCAGAUAUCUGAAUAGAUACAUGUGUCUUCAAUUUCUAAUGCAUUUUGCAAAAGCUGUUUCAAUUUCUUUAAACAGGCACUUGGUACCUUGAACGUUCACAUUCCUAAGCAUUGCGCUCUCCUGGAGCAUUCAUGUGCUUUUUGUGUGCUUGAUGGAGAGGCUGCUGUCACUCGGUCAGAAGGCAGGUGAGUUUACAUCUUGUGUGCAUGGCAGCCACGUGCCUUCAUUGCCAGACAUGGCCCAUGGGGAAUUCAGAAGCUUCCUACUCGACAAAGCCCCACUGAUGAGACAGAUCGUGAAUCACACAGGAUUCAUGUAUGGCUGUGGGUGUUGGAUGUAAAAACGCAGAGCACUUAACUGAGGGAAGGUAGAGGGUCUCAGAAGAGCAAAGAUGGAGUGGUUGAAAAUUUGGGACUGAACAUAAAAUCUCCAUGAACAUAAAAUCUCAUCCACUUCAGCUCGGGUGGAUGAAUCGGUUACACUGAAGUUUGUGGUGAAACCAGAACCAGAAGAGCAGUCUUGGGACUCCUACAACCCAGCAAGCAUCACACUUUCCCCUGGUUAAUCCAUCUUCCUCUGAAUCAUUUAUGGAUGUUUGGAGACUGCUGACAAAGUUCAGAGGCAUUAGGCUGGAGAAGAAAGCGCGGAGAGGCGUUGUGUGUGCUGUCAGCCCCCGGCGGUGUGUCCAUCUGCUCUCAUGCGCUAACGAAGGCCUGCUGCGCUGGGCCUUUCAGGGAGCCCCCACCUUUAAGGCCUUUUGCAUUAAUCUUUAAUACGCUCUUUGUGUGCUUGUCAUGUAGGAAUGCAAAGACUGAAAAUAAGCUUCUCGGCCAAUAUGGUGCGUAUUAGCUGGCUUCUACUUCAGGCUGUGGGACAAAUCCACCAGAAGAGCCCAAUUUUUGCAAAAUUUGCCAUUUUGCAAAUUUUUUCCAAGCAGGAGAGGGGAACCUGUCAGCACCACGAGGGAUCUCAUCCUGUGUUUUUUAAUCCCUUAUUUGUUUGAUCUCUCAAGUAAGACGUAGUUCAUGAGGGAAGUUCACAGGGGAGGCCCAGCGAAGCUGCU
This is a long non-coding RNA of Anas platyrhynchos (mallard), 1291 nucleotides long. RefSeq lists it as uncharacterized. The record is from RefSeq and is a predicted model, not a curated record. Lineage: Eukaryota; Metazoa; Chordata; Aves; Anseriformes; Anatidae.